Tarenaya hassleriana is the source of this 1350-nucleotide long non-coding RNA. RefSeq lists it as uncharacterized. The record is from RefSeq and is a predicted model, not a curated record. NCBI's taxonomy places the organism in Eukaryota, Viridiplantae, Streptophyta, Magnoliopsida, Brassicales, Cleomaceae. The transcript is spliced from 5 exons.
UAUGUGAGACGGAGAAAAUUAAAAAGUCGAACCCGGAGUGGCUAACAACUUGUUCUUUGUCCGUGAGGUUCAAGGGUUUGCUGAAAUUUUUCAUUUUUCUCGGGAAAAUUUGGUGGGAAUGGAUGGGUUGUUUGUCCUGUUUCGAAUCGAGGGAAGAAGAGAAGCUGGAUCCGCAGAAGGUAUCUGAGGAUCAGAAGCAAUCCCACCCGACAAUUUCCAUUUUAUCUUCUGGUAGGGGAAAAGCUCAGAUCAAUGAGGUAAUGGAGCAUCAAAAAGGGAUGAAACUACUUCGACUAGCAAUUUUCAUCCCGACUCUCUAGAUUUGUGCGAAUGGUUCAAGGAAAGGCUCAAGAGCACUGGUUGUUUCUGUUAAGAAAUUGGAUAGGAAUGGACUGCAACGUAACAGAGAAUUUCUGAUGGAUUAUGCUUAUUCUUCUUUGAUUGGUUAUUGUGCUGAUGGAGAUUCGCGGCUCCUCGUCUUUGAAUUUAUGCCCUUCGGAUCAUUGGAAGAUCGUCUUCAUGAUCUUCCGCCCGAUAAGAAACCACUAGAAUGGAACACAAGAAUGAAGAUAUAGCUGCAGGAGCAGCGAAAAAGGGUUGGAAUUCCUACACGAUAAGGCCAAACCUCCUGUUAUUUACAAAGAUUUCAAGUCCUCCAACAUAUUAUUGGAUGAGGAUUUCCCCCCAAAGCUCUCUGAUUUCGGGUUUAGAGCUUUGGUUAAGUUUUUCCGGAGCUGAUUACUGGAUGUAAAGCUAUCGACACGACAGCACGCUGGCACGUGGUGAACAAAACCUCGUUGCUUGGGCGAGACCACUGUUCAACGACAGGAGAAAGUCCAUAAGGCGGAUCGAGGUUGCAGCUAUGAACGAGGGAGCAGUCCGUUCCUCGUGGGAGGGAUGUGAUCGCUGCCCUCACGUAUAUACCAAACCAAGCUUAUGAUCCCGACAAAAAUGACAGGAGAAGCCAGGAUAAACGAGGCGGCAAGUUACUAUAAAGGAGCGGCGAAGGAGGAGGAGGAGGAGGGUUUGGAAGAAGAUCCGAUCUUGAUGGCUCCGAGAAGGACGAGUCUCGGGAGAGACGGAUAGGGUUUUGAACAGAGACAUCGACCGAUAACGGGCCAUGGCUGAGGCCAAGAUGUGGGGAGAGAAUUUGAGGAAGAAAUGACAGUAGCAACGGCUAGUUUAAUAACCCUUUUUCCCUUCUUCCAUGUUCAAACAUGGAUGAAUAUAUAGAGUAAGAAAACUGAACCAAGAAGAGUGUACGUUAUAUGAUGAUGCUAUAUGGGCAUUAUGACACAAUAACCUAAUCACUAACUCAAUAAAUUUUGAGGAGCUAUGUUCAGAAUUCAA